GAUGAACGCUGGCGGCGUGCCUAAUACAUGCAAGUCGAGCGAACAGAUGAGGAGCUUGCUCCUCGGACGUUAGCGGCGGACGGGUGAGUAACACGUGGAUAACCUACCUAUAAGACUGGGAUAACUUCGGGAAACCGGAGCUAAUACCGGAGAAUAUAUUGAACCGCAUGGUGCAAUAGUGAAAGUCGGUUUUGCUGGCACGUAUAGAGGGAUCCGCGCCGCAUGAGCUAGUUGGUAAGGUAACGGCUUACGAAGGCAACGAGGCGUAGCCGACCUGAGGGGGUGAUAGGCCGCCUUGGAGCUGAGCCGCGGUCCAGACUCCUACGGUAGGCCGCAGUAGGGAAUCUUCCGCAGUAGGCGAGAGCCUGACGGAGCGAGGCCGCGCGAGUGAUGACGGUCUUCCGAUCGUGAAGCUCUGUUAUGAGGUGAGAACAAAUGUGUAAGUAACUAUGCCCGUCGUGACGGUACCUAGUCAGAAAGCCCCGGCUAACUACGUG
RNAcentral lists this ribosomal RNA (497 nucleotides) under uncultured bacterium. RNAcentral's name for it is "partial 16S ribosomal RNA". It matches the Rfam family "Bacterial small subunit ribosomal RNA", at positions 28 to 507 of the family's 1533-position model. The record is from RNAcentral.